GUUGAAAUUGUGAGUGUCUCAGGAAAAGGAUAAGAUUUCGAAAUUUCUCACUGUUUUUCCAACUGGGUCAAAGCAGAAAUUCCUUUUUCCCUCUCAGAUCUGGUCCGUAGAUCAGUUGUAUAACUGCAUUCCAAAACAAUGGCUCUAGCAUCUGUUGAAGGAAGUUCAAAGCUAAACCCGAACGCCCCGCUUUUCAUCCCUGCCGCUUACCAGGUGGAGGAUUUCUCCCCACAAUGGUGGCAACUGGUCACAACCUCGACAUGGUACCGGACACUGGCUCUAGCAUCUGUUGAAGGAAGUUCAAAGCUAAACCCGAACGCCCCGCUUUUCAUCCCUGCCGCUUACCAGGUGGAGGAUUUCUCCCCACAAUGGUGGCAACUGGUCACAACCUCGACAUGGUACCGGACAC
This 409-nucleotide unclassified non-coding RNA is filed under the name Hevea brasiliensis (rubber tree). The record is from RNAcentral. Lineage: Eukaryota; Viridiplantae; Streptophyta; Magnoliopsida; Malpighiales; Euphorbiaceae.